Salmo salar (Atlantic salmon) is the source of this 54-nucleotide non-coding RNA. Lineage: Eukaryota; Metazoa; Chordata; Actinopteri; Salmoniformes; Salmonidae. The record is from Rfam.
GAUGCACUCUACUCUAAGUCGCUCUGGAUAAGAGCGUCUGCUAAAUGACUAAAA